AGCGGGGCCCAUCCCGUAAGGCUAAAUACUCCCGAGAGACCGAUAGCGAACCAGUACUGUGAAGGAAAGGUGAAAAGAACCUCGAACAGAGGAGUGAAAGAGACCCUGAAACCAUGCGCCUACAAGCGGUCGGAGCAUGUUAAAAUGUGACGGCGUGCCUUUUGCAUAAUGAACCUACGAGUUACUCUCGCUGGCAAGGUUAAGCGAUUCAGUCGCGCAGCCGAAGCGAAAGCAAGUCCGAAUAAGGCGUACAGUCAGCGGGAGUAGACGCGAAACCAAGUGAUCUACCCUUGGUCAGGUUGAAGGUUGGGUAACACCAACUGGAGGACCGCACCGAUAAGCGUUGAAAAGCUUACGGAUGAACUGAGGGUAGGAGUGAAAGGCCAAUCAAACUUGGAGAUAGCUCGUACUCCCCGAAAUGCAUUUAGGUGCAGCCUCGAAGUAAAGUGAUAGAGGUAGAGCGACUGAUAAGAUGCGAGGGCUUCACCGCCUAUCAAGUCUUGACAAACUCCGAAUACUAUCACUUGAUCUUUGGGAGUGAGGGCAUGGGUGCUAAGGUCCAUGUCCGAAAGAGGAACAACUCAGACCACCAGCUAAGGUCCCGAAAUAAGGGCUAAGUUGAAUAAACGAAGUAAAACUGCAAAGACAGCUAGGAUGUUGGCUUGGAAGCAGCCAUUCAUUUAAAGAGUGCGUAACAGCUCACUAGUCGAGGAGUUUUGCAUGGAUAAUAAUCGGGCAUAAGCCCUUUACCGAAGCUGUGGAUGUCGUAAGACAUGGUAGGGGAGCAUUCCGGCGGCGACGAAGGCCGUCCUCGAGGACGACUGGAGCUUUCGGAAAAGCAAAUGUAGGUAUAAGUAACGAUAAAGGGGGCGUGAAACCCCCUCGCCAUAAGACUAAGGAUUCCUGAUCAACGCUAAUCGGAUCAGGGUAAGUCGGGCCCUAAGGCGCAGCCGAACGGCGUAGCCGAUGGAAGAAACGGUAAAGAUUCCGUUACUGGAUAUAGGAGCGAUGUGGAGACGGAGAAGUGACACACCCGCCUGCCGACGGAAGCGCAGGUUAAAGGAAGUAGGUAAACGCCGGGUAGGCAAAUCCGCCUGGCGUGCCGAAGCUGACAGUAUCGAGAGCCCCCGGGCAAUCGAAUAGCGGUGGUAAUCAGGCUCCCAAGAAAAUCCGCUAAGCAUAUUCUAUAUUCACCCGUACCCCAAACGGACACACGUAGUCGGGUAGAAUAUACCAAGGCGCUCGAAAGACUCACGGUUAAGGAACUAGGCAAAUUGACCCUGUAACCUCGGGAAAAAGGGUCCCCAGUAAGAUGGGGCGCAGAGAAUAGGUCCAGGCAACUGUUUAACAAAAACACAGGGCUGUGCGAAAUUUCAAGAUGAAGUAUACAGCCUGACACCUGCCCGGUGCCGGAAGGUUAAGAGGAGAGCUAAUCGCAAGAGAAGGCUUGAAUUGAAGCCCCGGUAAACGGCGGCCGUAACUAUAACGGUCCUAAGGUAGCGAAAUUCCUUGUCGG
Molecule: ribosomal RNA, 1516 nt
Filed under: human gut metagenome
Description: bacterial LSU rRNA
Rfam family: Bacterial large subunit ribosomal RNA
Source: RNAcentral